CGGCCGCGCCGGCACGGUGUCUGAAGCUGCCGCGCUGGUCGCCCGGCCUCCGAAGCGCCCUCCUCGCCUCGCCACACUCCAGCCCGGUCCUGGCACGGUGACGGUCUGGGCUGGGGAACGGCUCUGAGGGCCCGAGGCACGUUUCCUGUAUCUCGGCGCGGCACAGGCACCAGCUCCGCUGCGCGCCCCUCGGCUGGGCUCCUCGUUUGGCUUGAAAUGGGACGCGACUGCAGUGCCCACCGGCUGCCCGACACUUCCCCUGUGGGCCACUUUCUCCUCCCUCUCCCACUGCCCGCGGGAGGCCUCGGGCACAAAACGCAGCUAUUUACUAUUACUCUUAACUUUUGCUUUUGAGACAGGGUCUCGCGAUGUAGCCCAGGCUGGCCUCAAAGGAGAAUGACCCUCCUGCCUCAGCUUCCCAAGUGCUGGGAUUACAGGCGUGUGCCACCGCACCUACUGUUCUUAGACAGUAAGAGGACCUGGUUGAUGCUUCUGGGCUAAGAUCCAGGUAAAGCAGCCAUGAAAGGGAUAUGAGAAAACGGGGGGAUAGAGAGAGUCCGGAGGGCUUGGGUGACGGGCAGUCGUGAGUCCUCUGGGGCAGCUGGGCCAGGUCCACGCUGGGGCAGGGCUUUUUUUCCAAUACAACUUUUUUUUUUUUGUCUUUUUGAGACAGGGUCCUGCUAUGCAGUUCAGGCUGGCCUUGAGCUCACUUUGUAGCCCAGGCUGGUCUCGAACUUGCAAGGAUCCUCCUGCCUCAGCCUCCUAUUACAGACGUGCACCAUCACACCCAGCAAGGAAUCGUUUGCAAAUGCAGAUUCUUAUCCACUGGGUCUGACCGGGCCCGAUUGUGCUGCUGUGACCCUGUGCUGCUGUCUAAGGGCAGGGCUGAUGCUGCCCUCAGAACCACAGGCUGUGCAGGCGCUUGCCAGGUGGAGCUGCUGGCGACCCGCCCGCCUCUCCCCUGUGUCCACGACUGCCAGCUUCCAGGAGACUGAGACUGACUUGGUAUGGGCGUCACACCCAAAGAAAGCUACGGCCGGACAGAAGGUGGCUGCAAACACACACUUCAAGGCAGUUUCGGUGCAAGCAGUUGCUACAGGCCCUAGAGGCAGGGCCUCUGGCUGCCCUCCCCGCUUUGGCUUGGGCUACUGCGAGCCUGGGCUCCUCCCGGUCUCCGGGAGCCGGGUCUCCUCGCCAGGCCCUCCUGGGCCACAAGGCUGGUUUUGUUUGUAUGUAUGUUUGUCGUUGUUUGGCUUUUAUUUUUUGGAUGUGAUUAAAAAACCUUAAUAAGACCUACCAUUUCCAUGUGCCUGGUAUCCGUUUAACUGUUGAAUUAUUAACUCACGAAAUCCUCACAAAAGACAAAAAGUACCCUGGGUCAGCUUUGCUGUUUCCCUCCACUUUCUUUUCUUUUUUUUGACAGGGUCUCAAAGCCCGACUCCCCGUCCUCCCAAGCGGUGGGACUGCAGGCUUCCCCAUAACCCAGGCUCUCCUGGACUUUUUCACCUUGUAUUCGCAAUACAGCACAGGCAGAGGAGCACGGGACACACAUGCGAACUGCCUGUGGAACCGGCUCCCGGAGUAAGAAACAUCAGCCCCAAAGGGCAGAGCGCUUUCCUCCUCCUGUAGGGCAGACACCAUCAUUACAGCAGCUGCUAGCUACCGGGGUAGGUACUUGUAGGUGGACUCUUUCGUUUACACUAGUUUGCACAACAAUACAAAAGUUAUGUUUCUUUUCAUUCUCCCUUUAUCGGGGACCCGGCCGAGACCCCCAACUGCCUGUAGGAGGGGCCCGGGAAAAGGAUGAAAUAAGAAACAGGCAAAUUUAUAAUGCAUGAAGCGAGGCUGGAAGGUCCGUGCCUCAGGAUGGGCAGAGACCGAGCUCCGAGCCAGCUGCAGCCCAUGGGGUGGGACCAUGACCAUGACGGGAGGGGCUGGUGGGAGACUCGGGUGAGGACUCAUGCUGAGAAGGACCUUGCCCUGGGCAGUUUUUA
Long non-coding RNA from Chinchilla lanigera (long-tailed chinchilla), 1994 nucleotides. NCBI's taxonomy places the organism in Eukaryota, Metazoa, Chordata, Mammalia, Rodentia, Chinchillidae. The record is from Ensembl.